Molecule: ribosomal RNA, 1238 nt
Filed under: metagenome
Description: bacterial LSU rRNA
Rfam family: Bacterial large subunit ribosomal RNA
Source: RNAcentral
UGAGUACGAGAUGCUACGGCAUCGAAGCAGUCUAUGUCAUACUUCCAAGAAAAGCUUGCAAUGUCAUAAACAAAUAAUGCCUGUACCAUAACCGACACAGGUGGGUAGGUAGAGUAUACUAAGGGGCGCGAGAUAACUCUCUCUAAGGAACUCGGCAAAAUGACUCCGUAACUUCGGGAGAAGGAGUGCCUUAUUUUUAUAAGGUUGCAAUAACAAGAUCCAAGCAACUGUUUACCAAAAACACAGGUCUCCGCUAAGUCGUAAGACGAUGUAUGGGGGCUGACGCCUGCCCAGUGCCAGAAGGUUAAAGAAGUUGGUUAGCAUUAGCGAAGCUGAUAACUGAAGCCCUGGUGAACGGCGGCCGUAACAAUAACGGUCCUAAGGUAGCGAAAUUCCUUGUCGGGUAAGUUCCGACCCGCACGAAAGGCGUAAUGAUUUGGAUACUGUCUCGGAGAGGGGCUCGGUGAAAUAGACUUGUCUGUGAAGAUGCGGACUACCUGCACCUGGACAGAAAGACCCUAUGAAGCUUUACUGUAACUUGAGAUUGAAAUUGGACUUUAUCUGCGCAGUAUAGGUGGGAGACGUUGAAAAUAUUCUUGCGGGAAUAUUGGAGUCAUCAGUGAGAUACCACUCUUAUAAUGUUAGAUUUCUAACUUUGUAUCAUUAUCUGGUCAAAGAACAGUUUCAGGCGGGCAGUUUGACUGGGGCGGUCGCCUCCCAAACGGUAACGGAGGCGCACAAAGGUUUCCUCUGAACGUGUAGAAAUCGUAUCUAGAGUGUAAAGGCAUAAGGAAGCUUGACUGUGAGACCUACAAGUCGAGCAGGGACGAAAGUCGGUCUUAGUGAUCUGACGGUGCUGAGUGGAAAGGCCGUCACUCAACGGAUAAAAGUUACUCUAAGGAUAACAGGCUGAUCUCCCCCAAGAGUUCACAUCGACGGGGAGGUUUGGCACCUCGAUGUCGGCUCAUCGCAUCCUGGGGCGGUAGUACGUCCCAAGGGUUGGGCUGUUCGCCCAUGAAAGCGGUACGCGAGCUGGGUUCAGAACGUCGUGAGGCAGUUCCGUCCAUAUCCGGUGUAGGCGUUAGAAUAUUGAGAGGAGCCUUCUUAGUACGAGAGGACCGAGAGGGACAUACCUCUGGUGUACCAGUUAUCGUGCCAACGGUAAACGCUGGGUAGCCAUGUAUGGAGAGGAUAACCGCUGAAAGCAUCUAAGUGGGAAGCCCACCUCAAGAUAAGUA